GUACCCUCAAGCUUUGCUUGGUGUUGGGCGUUUUUGUCUCGGGUCCGCCCCGAGACUCGCCUUAAAAUCAUUGGCAGCCGGCCUACUGGUUUCGGAGCGCAGCACAUUUUUGCGCUUUGUCCAGUCGUGGUCUUGCGUCCAUGAAGCGAAUAUUUUCAAC
RNAcentral lists this unclassified non-coding RNA (160 nucleotides) under Pyrenophora nisikadoi. RNAcentral describes it as "partial internal transcribed spacer 2". Lineage: Eukaryota; Fungi; Ascomycota; Dothideomycetes; Pleosporales; Pleosporaceae. The record is from RNAcentral.